Molecule: long non-coding RNA, 600 nt
Organism: Salvia miltiorrhiza (redroot sage)
Lineage: Eukaryota; Viridiplantae; Streptophyta; Magnoliopsida; Lamiales; Lamiaceae
Exons: 3
Source: RefSeq, a predicted model, not a curated record
AAUAUGGGUAGUUAGUCGUUAAAACGAGACGAAACGAGAUAUUUAACGACUAAGUGGGAUAAUAUACUAUCUAACCUACCCUACCCUAACCACUCCACCAACCACCCAACCCCACUCACUCACACAUAUUAUACGGCUGUAUCAGCCAAACACUCCACUCACACUUUAAUCUCACACAUACAACACCUAAAACACACACUAGUUCACGCCAUUUUCAUUUUAGUUUGAGCUCAAGCUUUUGACCUCCGAUUUGAGCACCGAGACGAGCGCCGAUCAUCUUUUCGAUCACGUAUCUAAGUAGGUCUUUUUGGGAAGUAACGACUUGAGGGAGAGAGUGACGUUACUCAUUGAUACAGAGACACAACGAGGUUGAGCUGAUGUGAUGAUGGUGCUGCAAUGAGCGGAGUCUCCAGGGUUGUUAAUAAAUAGUUAACCUGUCUAGAAUAUGUCUUCAUACAUAUGUCUAGCUACUUUCCGCUGCAAGAUGUUGUUGAUGUUAUAGUAUGUUAUGUCAUACUUUGAGUCUUAAGAGAAUGGUUUCAUAUGAUGUGUAACUUGAUUAAUGAUAUUAAUUAAGUUUUAUGCUGUCUUUCAUAGACU